GAUGAACGCUAGCGACAGGCCUAACACAUGCAAGUCGAGGGGCAGCGGAGAGGUAGCAAUACCUUUGCCGGCGACCGGCGCACGGGUGAGUAACACGUAUGCAAUCCACCUGUAACAGGGGGAUAACCCGGAGAAAUCCGGACUAAUACCCCAUAAUAUGGGCGCUCCGCAUGGAGGGUCCAUUAAAGAGAGCAAUUUUGGUUACAGACGAGCAUGCGCUCCAUUAGCCAGUUGGCGGGGUAACGGCCCACCAAAGCGACGAUGGAUAGGGGUUCUGAGAGAAGGUCCCCCACAUUGGAACUGAGACACGGUCCAAACUCCUACGGGAGCAGCAGUGAGGAAUAUUGGUCAAUGGUCGGCAGACUGAACCAGCCAAGUCGCGUGAGGGAAGACGGCCCUAC
Molecule: ribosomal RNA, 401 nt
Filed under: uncultured bacterium
Lineage: Bacteria
Description: bacterial SSU rRNA
Rfam family: Bacterial small subunit ribosomal RNA
Source: RNAcentral